CGAGGAUUUCCAUAGUAACGGCGAGUGAACUGGAAGGAGCCCAACGCUGAAUUACGCGGUUUUAUGGCCGCUGUAACCUGUAGCGUAUAAGCUGUAGUCAGCUUGGCUAUCAUUUGCCUACUCCAAGUUCCCUUGAGCGGGGCUAGAUCCGUAGAAGGUGAAAGGCCUGUAGGAGUUGGCGGUGGUUGUCAAAUUUUGGCUGCGCUUUAGAGUCGAGUUGCCUGGGAACGCAGCUCAAAGUUGGUGGUAAACCUCAUCUAAGGCUAAAUAUGGCUUCGAGUCCGAUAGCGAACAAGUACCGUGAGGGAAAGUUGCAAAGAACUUCGAAGGGAGAGUUCAAGAGGACGUGAAACCGCUAAGGGGGAAGCGGAUAGAGUUAACAGAUUGAUGAUCGCAUUCAGCCAAUCAUUGUUAUAACUUAAGAUAUUGGAUGCACUCGGGCUUAUUCGAGCGCCAGUAACUAAGUUAUAAUGCUGCCAUCGAUUGGUGGGUUUGCCAUCAUUGUCGCGCUGAGGCGCUCAAAGUGGUAUGCUAAUGCAGGAUUUUUUUUUGUAGAGGACUAUGUUGCUCGUCAGUGUAGAAACCUACAAAAUUUGUAUUGGCAUAUUCGCUAUGAGUGUAUGUGAACAGUACCGCCCGCAAUAGUGCAUUGGUCGACUAUGUUUGGUUAUCAUUGGUGGCCGGCAGUGUUAGGCAUUUAACACUGUAUGGUUGUCAUUUUGCUAGCCCUUAAUCGACAUGAAAGAUGCGU
RNAcentral lists this ribosomal RNA (751 nucleotides) under Syphatineria sp. Kalimantan1. RNAcentral's name for it is "eukaryotic LSU rRNA". It matches the Rfam family "Eukaryotic large subunit ribosomal RNA", at positions 69 to 631 of the family's 3401-position model. The record is from RNAcentral. Lineage: Eukaryota; Metazoa; Nematoda; Chromadorea; Rhabditida; Oxyuridae.